CCUACGGGGGGCAGCAGUGGGGAAUAUUGCGCAAUGGGGGAAACCCUGACGCAGCGACGCCGCGUGUAGGAAGAAGGCCUUCGGGUCGUAAACUACUGUCAAGAGGGAAGAACCUGUGGGUCAUUAAUACGGGCCUGCACUGACGGUACCAUACGAGGAAGUCCCGGCUAACUACGUGCCAGCAGCCGCGGUAAUACGUAGGGGACGAGCGUUGUCCGGAAUUACUGGGCGUAAAGGGCGCGCAGGCGGAUAUUUAAGUCAGCUGUAAAAGGCAUGAGCUCAACUCAUGUAUGCGGUUGAAACUGGGUAUCUAGAGUGCUGGAGAGGUAGGCGGAAUUCCCGGUGUAGCGGUGAAAUGCGUAGAUAUCGGGAAGAACACCAGUGGCGAAGGCGGCUUACUGGCCAGCAACUGACGCUGAGGCGCGAAAGCCAGGGGAGCGAACGGGAUUAGAUACCCUUGUAGUC
RNAcentral lists this ribosomal RNA (465 nucleotides) under uncultured Aminobacterium sp. Its description in RNAcentral is "bacterial SSU rRNA". It matches the Rfam family "Bacterial small subunit ribosomal RNA", at positions 338 to 795 of the family's 1533-position model. Lineage: Bacteria; Thermotogati; Synergistota; Synergistia; Synergistales; Aminobacteriaceae. The record is from RNAcentral.